RNAcentral lists this ribosomal RNA (424 nucleotides) under uncultured bacterium. Its description in RNAcentral is "partial 16S ribosomal RNA". It matches the Rfam family "Bacterial small subunit ribosomal RNA", at positions 360 to 776 of the family's 1533-position model. The record is from RNAcentral.
AAUAUUGGACAAUGGGCGGAAGUCUGAUCCAGCCAUGCCGCGUGUGUGAAGAAGGUCCUCGGAUUGUUAAGCACUUUAAGUAGGGAGGAAGGGCUGAAGACUAAUACUCUGCUAUUGUGACGUUACCGACAGGAUAAGCACCGGCUCACUCCGUGCCAGCAGCCGCGGUAAUACGAAGGGUGCAAGCGUUAAUCGGAAUUACUGGGCGUAACGCGCGCGUAGGUGGUUCGUUAAGUUGGAUGUGGAAGCCCCGGGCUCAACCUGGGAACUGCAGCCAAAACUGGCGAGCUAGAGUACGGUAGAGGGUGGUGGAAUUUCCUGUGUAGCGGUGAAAUGCGUAGAUAUAGGAAGGAGCACCAGUGGCGAAGGCGACAACCUGGACUGAUACUGACACUGAGGUGCGAAAGCGUGGGGAGCAAACAGG